Astatotilapia calliptera (eastern happy) is the source of this 1665-nucleotide long non-coding RNA. The record is from Ensembl. Lineage: Eukaryota; Metazoa; Chordata; Actinopteri; Cichliformes; Cichlidae.
CCGUCGCUCAGACCAUCACACCUCUCUGUGCUCUCUCUGCUCUCUGCUUUCUUCAUCUCCAGGUCUCCCAUCUGUCCCUGUCUCUACCAUCCUCAUCCUCACUCUGUCUCUCCAUGGGAGUCAUGUCCUCCCCCAGGUUCCUGUCACUUCAUCUGCUUGGAGCCUUGCUGCUGCCGCUGCUGCUGCUGCCUGGUUCUUGGGCCCAGCAUUAUGAUGAUUUCACAUCAUCUCCAGAUUACGACUCUGACUACAACUCCACCUUUGAGUACAGCUUCUUCAGUAAUACGAGCAGCGAGGACCUGGACAGACUUGUGGAACGCUACCUCGAUCCAGACGAAACUACGGAGGACACUGGAGGACCAGAGGAGGAAGUGGCUGUAACCAUGGUGAUUACAAGAAGAACAACAGAGGGGGUCAACGCUCACGGCACUGCACCAUUUCAGUGGCUCUCAUACACCUUCGUAAUUUUCAGCUUCGCCACUUCUUCCACACUAAAGGUGUGUGAGUGCACAGCGAAGGUGGGGAGGGUCCUGUUGUGUUGAGAGAUUUGAUUAGACAGUCUCAGUAUUGAAAAUGAGUGACGGGCUGUGCAUCCGACCUUCAAUUGGCCCAAACGUGCAUCUACCUCCCGGGAGAAGCCCGGCGUUCAGAGAUAUCGAUCGUGUUCUGAGGAAAACGAACUCUUUAGCUUCUGCUGAGCUCCUUCAUGAUUCCUCAGCUCCAGGUUUGGAUCGGAGCUGCAGGACCUGCUGAUCCACAUCCAAGCUGAGCUCUGCUGGAAAUCAGGACGCUGCUCUGGACUCUGGUGAUCCUGUUGGUCCUGCAGCAGCUGCAACACACACUCUGGUGACAGGUGUCGAGACAAGCCCCUCAGCUCCGUCCUCAGUGAACAUGGCUCCUCAUGGGAGCAGGUGGACCAAUCACAGAGCUUCUUUCCUGAACCAUUUCAGAAAGUUUGCAGACAAACGCCUGGAAGAUUUCACUACGUGGUGACAUUUUUAUUAUACGUAAAGAAGUUUUUUGAUGGAACUGCUGAAUAAGCCAUACUUUAGAAAAGAUGUUUAUAUUUGUAAUAAAAAGAUGUUUUUAAAGACAAUAUGAAGUUAUUUUGUGUCCUUAUUGUGCAAACAAACAACAUAAGUGUUUGUAGUUGAGUGCAAACAAGCACUGUGUUACAGAAUAAACAUGUUGAUGGACGGGGUCAGCGGGGGCCUGGAGCUUUCAUUUUUUCUCCAAAUCACAAGUGUUGUUGGCUGAACUGUGAAACGUCAGCUGAAAGAUUUCUAUUACAGCAGAACCGUCACUGUGCAAACGUUUGCAUCUGUUCAUAUUCAGGAUCCAGGAGCGGAUUUGGAUCCACAGUUUAAUCACAGAUUUAUUUGACUUGCGAUACAUUUUUGAUUGUGCUGUUUAUAGUUUUCCUCUAAAUCCUGUUUGUUUGCAUAAAAAAGACACAAAAGUGACAGAAUAAAAACACGAUUGUAUGAAUGAGCAUAUUUGCAGAUACAUUUAUAUAUAAACAAAUAAAGAUGAAGUAUUUAAAGUGGACCCCAGCAUCCUCCGUGGUUACAAUCAUCAGUUUGUCAGCGACAUGUUUGAUUGUUUAUUUGGAUGUUUGAUCUUCCUGUUCGAAAAAACAAAACUGCAGUCCCAUCGACAACAUGC